AUACUUACUAGGCAGGGGAGAUGCCAUGAUCAGGAAGGUGGUUUUCCCAGGGUGAGGCUUAUUCAUUGUACUCUAGAUGUGCUGACCCCUGCGAUUUUCCCAAAUGCGGGAAACUCGACUGCAUACAUUGUGGUAGUGGGGGGCUGCGUUUGCAUUCUCCCCUG
Echinops telfairi (small Madagascar hedgehog) is the source of this 164-nucleotide small nuclear RNA. RefSeq annotates it as U1 spliceosomal RNA. The record is from RefSeq and is a predicted model, not a curated record. NCBI's taxonomy places the organism in Eukaryota, Metazoa, Chordata, Mammalia, Afrosoricida, Tenrecidae. The transcript has a single exon.